GAUGAAGAACGUAGCGAAAUGCGAUAAGUAAUGUGAAUUGCAGAAUUCCGUGAAUCAUCGAAUCUUUGAACGCACAUUGCGCCCCCUGGCAUUCCGGGGGGCAUGCCUGUCCGAGCGUCAUUUCUGCCCUCAAGCACGGCUUGUGUGUUGGGUGUGGUCCCCCCGGGAACCUGCCCGAAAGGCAGCGGCGACGUCCGUCUGGUCCUCGAGCGUAUGGGGCUCUGUCACUCGCUCGGGAAGGACCUGCGGGGGUUGGUCACCACUAUAUUUUACCACGGUUGACCUCGGAUCAGGUAGGAGUUACCCGCUGAACUUAAGCAUAUCAAUAAGCGGAGGA
RNAcentral lists this unclassified non-coding RNA (337 nucleotides) under soil metagenome. Its description in RNAcentral is "partial contains 5.8S ribosomal RNA, internal transcribed spacer 2, and large subunit ribosomal RNA". The stretch from base 1 to 120 matches the Rfam family "5.8S ribosomal RNA", at positions 35 to 154 of the family's 154-position model. The record is from RNAcentral.